GAUGAACGCUGGCGGCGUGCCUAAUACAUGCAAGUCGAGCGAACAGGCGAGGAGCUUGCUCCUCUGACGUUAGCGGCGGACGGGUGAGUAACACGUGGAUAACCUACCUAUAAGACUGGGAUAACUUCGGGAAACCGGAGCUAAUACCGGAUAAUAUAUUGAACCGCAUGGUUCAAUAGUGAAAGACGGUUUUGCUGUCACUUAUAGAUGGAUCCGCGCCGCAUUAGCUAGUUGGUAAGGUAACGGCUUACCAAGGCAACGAUGCGUAGCCGACCUGAGAGGGUGAUCGGCCACACUGGAACUGAGACACGGUCCAGACUCCUACGGAAGGCAGCAGUAGGGAAUCUUCCGCAAUGGGCGAAAGCCGGACGGAGCAACGCCGCGUGAGUGAUGAAGGUCUUCGGAUCGUAAAACUCUGUUAUUAGGGAAGAACAAAUGUGUAAGUAACUAUGCACGUCUUGACGGUACCUAAUCAGAAAGCCACGGCUAACUACGUG
RNAcentral lists this ribosomal RNA (497 nucleotides) under uncultured bacterium. RNAcentral describes it as "partial 16S ribosomal RNA". It matches the Rfam family "Bacterial small subunit ribosomal RNA", at positions 28 to 507 of the family's 1533-position model. The record is from RNAcentral.